GUUCCAGGAAAAGCCACUAAGCUUCAGCUACACACGACCGUACCGCAAACCGACACUGGUGCGCGAGAUGAGUAUUCUAAGGCGCUUGAGAGAACUCAGGAGAAGGAACUCGGCAAAUUGACACCGUAACUUCGGAAGAAGGUGUGCCCUAGUAGUGUGAAGUGAACAACGGAGCAUGAAUGGGUUGCAAAAAAUCGGUGGCUGCGACUGUUUAUUAAAAACACAGCACUCUGCAAACACGAAAGUGGACGUAUAGGGUGUGACGCCUGCCCGGUGCUGGAAGAUUAAAUGAUGGGGUGCAAGCUCUUGAUUGAAGUCCCAGUAAACGGCGGCCGUAACAAUAACGGUCCUAAGGUAGCGAAAUUCCUUGUCGGGUAAGUUCCGACCUGCACGAAUGGCGUAACGAUGGCCACACUGUCUCCUUCUGAGACUCAGCGAAGUUGAAAUGUUUGUGAUGAUGCAAUCUCCCCGCGGAAAGACGGAAAGACCCCAUGAACCUUUACUGUAGCUUUGUAUUGGACUUUGAACAGAUCUGUGUAGGAUAGGUGGGAGGCUUUGAAGCAGGGUCGCUAGAUCUUGUGGAGCCAACGUUGAAAUACCACCCUGGUGUGUUUGAGGUUCUAACCUAGGUCCAUUAUCUGGAUCGGGGACAGUGCAUGGUAGGCAGUUUGACUGGGGCGGUCUCCUCCCAAAGCGUAACGGAGGAGUUCGAAGGUACGCUAGUUACGGUCGGACAUCGUGACGAUAGUGCAAUGGCAUAAGCGUGCUUAACUGCGAGACUGACAAGUCGAGCAGAUGCGAAAGCAGGACAUAGUGAUCCGGUGGUUCUGUAUGGAAGGGCCAUCGCUCAACGGAUAAAAGGUACUCUGGGGAUAACAGGCUGAUACCGCCCAAGAGUUCAUAUCGACGGCGGUGUUUGGCACCUCGAUGUCGGCUCAUCUCAUCCUGGGGCUGUAGCCGGUCCCAAGGGUAUGGCUGUUCGCCAUUUAAAGAGGUACGUGAGCUGGGUUUAAAACGUCGUGAGACAGUUUGGUCCCUAUCUUCCGUGGGCGCUGCAGAUUUGAGGAAGCCUGCUCCUAGUACGAGAGGACCGGAGUGGACACACCUCUGGUGUAUCGGUUGUCACGCCAGUGGCAUUGCCGAGUAGCUAAGUGUGGAAGAGAUAACCGCUGAAAGCAUCUAAGCGGGAAACUCGUUUCAAGAUGAGAUCUGCCGGGGCCUUGAGCCCCCUGAAGAGUCGUUCAAGACCAGGACGUUGAUAGGUCAGGUGUGGAAGCGCAGUAAUGCGUUAAGCUAACUGAUACUAAUUGCUCGUGCGGCUUGACCCU
This 1328-nucleotide ribosomal RNA is filed under the name metagenome. Its description in RNAcentral is "bacterial LSU rRNA". It matches the Rfam family "Bacterial large subunit ribosomal RNA", at positions 1605 to 2925 of the family's 2925-position model. The record is from RNAcentral.